UUAAGUUCAGCGGGUAUCCCCACCUGAUCCGAGGUCAACCUUGCAAAAGCGAUUGAUCCGGCGGGCGCCAGCCGUCCCGAGCCGUGUGUCGUCACUGCUACGGGCUGGGCCGGGCCGCCAACGUCAUUAGGGCCGCCGCCGCAGCGGGGGGCCCAAUACCAAGCGGGGCUUGAUGGUCUGAAUGACGCUCGAACAGGCGUGCCCCUCGGAAUACCAAGGGGCGCAAUGUGCGUUCAAAGACUCGAUGAUUCACUGAAUUCUGCAAUUCACAUUACUUAUCGCAUUUCGCUGCGUUCUUCAUCGAUGCCGGAACCAAGAGAUCCGUUGUUGAAAGUUUUAACUGAUUAAGUUUGGCUCGGACGUCACCGCAAAAGCCAGGGUUUGGGGUCUUCCGGCGGGCACACGCCGCCCGGGGGCGGCGGCCGACAGGGCAGGCCCGCCGAAGCAACCAGGUGGGUACACAGGGGGUGUCGCGUCGACCGGCGAGCCGGCCGCGCUCUACCAUAAUGAUCCUU
Molecule: unclassified non-coding RNA, 515 nt
Filed under: uncultured Didymosphaeria
Lineage: Eukaryota; Fungi; Ascomycota; Dothideomycetes; Pleosporales; Didymosphaeriaceae
Description: sequence contains ITS1, 5.8S rRNA gene, ITS2
Source: RNAcentral